This is a long non-coding RNA of Brienomyrus brachyistius, 1133 nucleotides long. RefSeq lists it as uncharacterized. The transcript is spliced from 3 exons. NCBI's taxonomy places the organism in Eukaryota, Metazoa, Chordata, Actinopteri, Osteoglossiformes, Mormyridae. The record is from RefSeq and is a predicted model, not a curated record.
CCAAAACAGACCCGCAGCCAGAUUUGUGCCUGCAACCAUGGAGACAUGAAAACAAUGUCACCACUCCACUAAACUCCAUUCAUGGUUUUCAAGAUUUCUAAAAUCUUCUGCAAAGACACUGGAUUGUAUGAGAGCUCUAGACCGUCACUGGCACAGAACAGCCAAACCCGGAGCAGUGGGGGUCUGCUAUUCGGUAUGGGGAUGUUACUGCAGUCUCUCUGAGAAGAGGGCCGUGCUUUGCCUCCUCCACCCCACCCUCGGAUGGACCAUCCCUCGCAGCAAACACUAAGCAAGACUGGCAGCAGGCGUGUGUGCAGUGCCAGGUUGGAGGACAUGGUGAAAGGACAGGGGGCGGGGAGUGGCAGGCCUCAUGCCACCUCUUUGGCACCCAUCAGUUAGCGGGUUGUGAAAAGCAGAAAGCUGGCGAUUGUGAGCGGGCGGGACACGCAUCACAGGUCAUGCUGAGAGGCUGCCUGACACCUGUCAUGGCCGCUUACGGUGAAGAGCCGCUAUUCCUGUCCCUGGGCCUCCCCCGCAUUUAGGUACAGAUGGGGGGUAUGGGGGGGGGGGAGCGUGGACGGCCCAGAGCAGCACCCGGGGAACCCUACACAGGCUGGGAAAGCCUUACAAGCUCCACGUCUGUCCUUCUGAAGAAUAAGGAGUUCCUUUUUCGCCCGGCCCCUGGCGUGCCUCUGGGCACAGACAUACCAUGGAAUAUAGGUUCCCACCGCGACGGCCAAUCAGUGCUGGGUUGCUCACUACACAUAUUUAUAGCUCGUCUAGUGAAUUUGGGGGUGUGAGAUAGGGGUCGACUGGGAUUACAGGCCCAGGCUCUCCUGUUGACCCAUAGAGUAAAGAGAGAGCAACGUUCACCUGCUUUACCCCUUUUCCCGAGGGUGGAUAAAAGGCUGCGUAACAGCCCACUGAAGUGUGAAUCCAAUAUGCUUUUUUUUUUAUUAUUUAAUUUUAAUAGCGAGCGUUUUGUAGGUGAAUUUUAAGAAAGGUGUAAAGUAGCAAAGUAGAGAGAGACGGGAAGGGAGAGGCAGUGAGAGGGAGAGAGAGAGAGAACUUGUUUGGUUCAGGAACCAUUUAACGACUUCCCCUGGAAAUUGAAAAAGGAAAUAGUUUUGGGA